AGAUUAUGCUUCGUAGGUGACCUGCGGAAGGAUCAUUAUCGUUGGGCUUCGGCCCAUUCGAGAUAACACCCUUGCCUUUUUGAGUACCUUUUCGUUUCCUCGGCAGGCUCGCCUGCCAACGGGGACCCUUCAAAACGCUUUGUAAUACCUGUAAUUGUCUGAUAUAACAAGCAAAAAUCAAAACUUUCAACAACGGAUCUCUUGGUUCUGGCAUCGAUGAAGAACGCAGCGAAAUGCGAUAAGUAGUGUGAAUUGCAGAAUUCAGUGAAUCAUCGAAUCUUUGAACGCACAUUGCGCCCUUUGGUAUUCCUUAGGGCAUGCCUGUUCGAGCGUCAUUUAAACCUUCAAGCUCAGCUUGGUGAUGGGUGACUGUCCUCCCCUCGCGGGGGGACUCGCCUCAAAAACAUUGGCGGCCGGUACAUUGGCUUCGAGCGCAGCAGAAACGCGGUCUCGAGUCCUCUGAAUCGGCUCCCAUAAGCCUCUUUUUUAUUUUGACCUCGGAUCAGGUAGGGAUACCCGCUGAACUUAAGCAUAUCAAAAAG
RNAcentral lists this ribosomal RNA (542 nucleotides) under Preussia sp. GSL1_3_2. RNAcentral's name for it is "eukaryotic LSU rRNA". The stretch from base 182 to 335 matches the Rfam family "5.8S ribosomal RNA". The record is from RNAcentral. Lineage: Eukaryota; Fungi; Ascomycota; Dothideomycetes; Pleosporales; Sporormiaceae.